UAAUGGAUAUAAAUAUGUAGAUCACCCUUGCUAUAACAUCAAUCUAAAGAUAAGGCGCUUGAGGCAGCCACCAAUCGAGAACCAGAGACUCUGGAUCUGCCAAAACUUGUUGAUGUCUGAACAAAUGAUGGCACCCUUUGGACCAGCAAGGCUCAUAAAGUCAGCAGCAAGAUGAUGAUGUCACUGGCCACUCUCUCAAUGUCAAAGUCCUCGUCCGACUGGCUGCCUCCAGCCGACUCCUGCU
Acanthaster planci (crown-of-thorns starfish) is the source of this 244-nucleotide long non-coding RNA. Lineage: Eukaryota; Metazoa; Echinodermata; Asteroidea; Valvatida; Acanthasteridae. The record is from RefSeq and is a predicted model, not a curated record.